UACGUAGGGUGCAGGCGUUAAUCGGAAUUACUGGGCGUAAAGCGUGCGCAGGCGGUUUUUUAAGUCAGAUGUGAAAUCCCCGGGCUUAACCUGGGAACUGCGUUUGAAACUGGAAAGCUUGAGUGCGGCAGAGGGGGGUGGAAUUCAACGUGUAGCAGUGAAAUGCGUAGAGAUGUGGAGGAACACCGAUGGCGAAGGCAGCCCCCUGGGUCGACACUGACGCUCAUGCACGAAAGCGUGGGGAGCAAACAGG
RNAcentral lists this ribosomal RNA (253 nucleotides) under uncultured bacterium. RNAcentral describes it as "partial 16S ribosomal RNA". It matches the Rfam family "Bacterial small subunit ribosomal RNA", at positions 524 to 776 of the family's 1533-position model. The record is from RNAcentral.